Molecule: unclassified non-coding RNA, 148 nt
Organism: Papio anubis (olive baboon)
Lineage: Eukaryota; Metazoa; Chordata; Mammalia; Primates; Cercopithecidae
Rfam family: Metazoan signal recognition particle RNA
About the family: The signal recognition particle (SRP) is a universally conserved ribonucleoprotein. It is involved in the co-translational targeting of proteins to membranes.
Source: Ensembl
GCUGGGCAUGGUGGUGUGUGCCUGUAAUCCCAGCUACUCAGGAGGCUGAGGCAGGAGUAUUGCUUGAACCCAGGAGGCAGAGGUUGCAGUGAGCAGAGAUUGCACCACUGCACUCUAGCCUGGGCGACAGAGUGAGACUCUGUCUCAA